Molecule: small RNA, 125 nt
Filed under: Marmota monax (woodchuck)
Lineage: Eukaryota; Metazoa; Chordata; Mammalia; Rodentia; Sciuridae
Source: RNAcentral
GCUGGGUGUGGUGACGCAUACCUGUAAUCCCAGUAGCUUGGGAGGCUGAGACAGAAGAAUCCCAAGUUCAAAGCCAGCCUCAGCAACAGCGAGGCACUAAGUGACUCAGUGAGACCCUGUCACUA